UCUAAAACCUCUUCAGCCAGUCAGGAAUAAGACAUGUCCUCUUGGUCCUUUCCCAGCUUCACCAUCAUCCCCCGCCCCCUUCCCUUAACCACUUCACGCCCCGGAGACUUCUCUUCACCUCUGUUUUGCUCAAUCUGCCAGAAGAAAUUCGAUUUGGUGAUUACUUGCCGGUUCUUAGCGUCUGCCAAUGUUCUCCAUUCUUGGACUCCAAAUGAAAAGAAGAUUACAAUGGCUAAAUUUCUCAAAAAGCCCUUAGGAAGCAAGGAUUCCUGGACCAGACAACACCCUUGGAGUUUGAAGUUCCAGGAGAGAAGGUACCUACUAAAUGCUGGAAGAAACAGAGUGGGAAGGACCUUAUCAGACAUUACAGAUGACUGAAACUGCAGUUUGGAGGCUGAGAACACCAGGGUUAAAGGAAUUGUGGAGGACCUGAGGAGAACUUUUAAGAAUAAUUUAUAACCUCUAAAAUUGACUUUGCAUUGGGGCAGUCAGAAAUGCUUUGGUGGGAGGGGAGAUUAAUUGUGCUUAGAAAAACUUUAACAAUAUUGGUUUUGUACCUGUUACAUUUCCAGAAAAGUUUAUAGAGACUCCUUGAUUGGAGGAAGUUGAAUUAAUUUUUUUUAAGAUGAAGAAAUUAUUAAUAUUAAUUCUGAUAAGGUUGUUCAGUGUGAAAUUAGGACAGUAUAUUCUAUAUUCUACAUGGGUUUUUAAUUGGUUGUAUUGAAUCAUUUUAAAGUUAUUCCCAUUGUUUAGGGAGAUUCUGAGAACACUGUUUUACGUCUUAGUCCCUUUGAACAUAAUUAAUACCUGAACAUGUUUUGAUAGUUUGGUUAUUGAGCAUCUAAAAGUGUAAUUAUGAAUUUAAAACCCAUCUACUGAGAUAUGAAUAUGUGGUGAACUUUCUAGAAUGAAUUUCUUAACUAUUAUCAAUGUAAUAUUAUAGUCAAUACUUAUUUAGGCUAUGUGAGCUAAAUUUACCUGACACUUUGAUUAAUGAGACUUGCUAUUUGAGAUAAAAUCUCUUGAGACUGUAGCUGAUAUUAUUUGGAGUUUUGAAUUCAGGUACAAUUGUCUAAUGGAUCAUAAAGCCAGUAAUCUAUCAUCUGAAAGGAAUAUGUCACAAGUUACUCAGAGCAAUGUGAUCCUAAAUUGUUACAGAUGGAGAAUAAUAUCUGGGCAAGAGUUGAGAGGACAACUUUGACCUCCUCUUAAGAUGGGAUCCUUCUGACUUAGUUUUUCAAUGAUGUUCUUUGAAUAAGAAUCCACCUGAUUAUUCUUGAGUCUGGUCACAAGGUGUAAUUGUUAUUGCAUAUAAUUAGCUAAGAAUGUUUUACUCUGUCAUGUAUGUACUCUCAGGCAGAGGCCUGAAGGACCAGUUUUGAUGCUAUUCGAAUUAUGUCCUUGCAUUUUCUUCUUAUAGCAAAUUUCUAUAAGCAGGGCAAAUGUUCAGUACAAUUCAAAUUUAAGAUCUUGCAUUUCUUAUCUGAAAAUAUGUGAUCAUUCUAUCCUAAAUAAGUAGGUGAGUAUUUGGCCUAGACAUCUAUCUGUUACUAGAUGCAUGUUUCUUUUAGCAUUUCUAUUGUUGCUGACUUUCCUAAUAGGCAACUCUAUUUUUGAAGAGUUAUCUACUCUACUUACUGGAGCCACAAAUGGUUGGGGUAAUAGAUGACCCCAGAUGGGAGUUAGGGGUACAAAAUUUCAGUUUGUUUGCUGAAUAAGUUCAUGAGAUUCCAGGCCAAUGGUUGAAAUAAUUACUAACCAAUUCACAAAGGCACUGGAUUUUUUUAGUAGACCAAGCCACUCAGACUGAAGAAUCAGUCCUCCAUAGUAGAAUGGUAUUAAACUAUUUGUUGGUUGAAGAAGGUAGAGUUUAUGGGAAAUUAAAUUUUUGCUGUGUGAAAAUUAAUAAUGGACAGGUAGUGAAAGAAAUUUCCAUAGACAUCAGAAAAUUGGUUCAAGUCCCAUUCCAGACCAAGUCUGGAAUCUAGGAAUCCAGAGAAUCUAGGAAAUCUUAACUUUUUAACUUAUGGUAAUAAAACAGUCCAGGAAGGUUAAAUUCCCAUUGAAAUUGUCUCAAAGGUUGUUGUGUCUGUCUUUAAAGAUGCUAACUAGAUUGGAGACAGGAUGGAGGAUUAACAAUGGACUACAGACAUUACUGGUCAGAUGAUAAAGACUGAACAAUCUGGAGAGGGAAGUCCAGUUAGAUAAAGAUGGU
Molecule: long non-coding RNA, 2215 nt
Organism: Sarcophilus harrisii (Tasmanian devil)
Lineage: Eukaryota; Metazoa; Chordata; Mammalia; Dasyuromorphia; Dasyuridae
Exons: 2
Source: RefSeq, a predicted model, not a curated record